Molecule: long non-coding RNA, 260 nt
Filed under: Homo sapiens (human)
Lineage: Eukaryota; Metazoa; Chordata; Mammalia; Primates; Hominidae
Description: HSALNT0151546
Source: RNAcentral
AACCGCGACCUCCGCAACCUUGAGCGGCAUCCGUGGAGUGCGCCUGCGCAGCUACGACCGCAGCAGGAAAGCGCCGCCGGCCAGGCCCAGCUGUGGCCGGACAGGGACUGGAAGAGAGGACGCGGUCGAGUAGUUUUAAAACAUGAAUCCUACACUCAUCCUUGCUGCCUUUUGCCUGGGAAUUGCCUCAGCUACUCUAACAUUUGAUCACAGUUUAGAGGCACAGUGGACCAAGUGGAAGGCGAUGCACAACAGAUUAU